This 76-nucleotide transfer RNA is filed under the name Plutella xylostella (diamondback moth). RNAcentral describes it as "tRNA-Ile". Lineage: Eukaryota; Metazoa; Arthropoda; Insecta; Lepidoptera; Plutellidae. The record is from RNAcentral.
GCCGUCUGGUGUAGUGGCUAGUUAGUUGCCCUGAUUGCUAUGCCGAUGGUCCCGGGUUCGAUUCCCGGCUGGGGCA